GACGAACGCUGGCGGCGUGCUUAACACAUGCAAGUCGAACGGAAAGGCCCUGCUUUUGUGGGGUGCUCGAGUGGCGAACGUGUGAGUAACACGUGAGUAACCUGCCCUUGACUUUGGGAUAACUUCAGGAAACUGGGGCUAAUACCGGAUAGGAGCUCCUGCUGCAUGGUGGGGGUUGGAAAGUUUCGGCGGUUGGGGAUGGACUCGCGGCUUAUCAGCUGGUUGGUGGGGUAGUGGCUUACCAAGGCUUUGACGGGUAGCCGGCCUGAGAGGGUGACCGGCCACAUUGGGACUGAGAGAGGGCGCAGACUGGUACGGGAGGCAGCAGUGGGAAGUCUGGCACAAUGGGCGGAAGCCUGAUGCAGCGACGUCGGGUGCGGGAUGACGGCCUUCGGGGUGUGAACCGCUUUCGCCUGUGACGAAGCGUGAGUGACGGUAAUGGGUAAAGAAGCACCGGCUAACUACGUG
RNAcentral lists this ribosomal RNA (468 nucleotides) under uncultured bacterium. RNAcentral's name for it is "partial 16S ribosomal RNA". It matches the Rfam family "Bacterial small subunit ribosomal RNA", at positions 28 to 507 of the family's 1533-position model. The record is from RNAcentral.